RNAcentral lists this ribosomal RNA (253 nucleotides) under uncultured bacterium. Its description in RNAcentral is "partial 16S ribosomal RNA". It matches the Rfam family "Bacterial small subunit ribosomal RNA", at positions 524 to 776 of the family's 1533-position model. The record is from RNAcentral.
UACGAAGGGGGCUAGCGUUGUUCGGAAUCACUGGGCGUAAAGCGCACGUAGGCGGAUCUUUAAGUCAGGGGUGAAAUCCCGAGGCUCAACCUCGGAACUGCCCUUGAUACUGGGGAUCUCGAGUCCGGGAGAGGUGAGUGGAACUGCGAGUGUAGAGGUGAAAUUCGUAGAUAUUCGCAAGAACACCAGUGGCGAAGGCGGCUCACUGGCCCGAUACUGACGCUGAGGUGCGAAAGCGUGGGGAGCAAACAGG